AGUCGACGAACUUCUUUAUCACCGAGUGCUUGCACUCACCGGUAAAGGGUUGAGUGGCGAACGGGUGAGUAACACGUGGGCAACCUGCCCAAAAGAGGGGGAUAACACUUGGAAACAGGUGCUAAUACCGCAUAACCAUAGUUACCGCAUGGUAGCUAUGUAAAAGGUGGCUAUGCUACCGCUUUUGGAUGGGCCCGCGGCGCAUUAGCUAGUUGGUGGGGUAAAGGCUUACCAAGGCAAUGAUGCGUAGCCGAACUGAGAGGUUGAUCGGCCACAUUGGGACUGAGACACGGCCCAAACUCCUACGGGAGGCAGCAGUAGGGAAUCUUCCACAAUGGGCGAAAGCCUGAUGGAGCAACGCCGCGUGGGUGAAGAAGGUCUUCGGAUCGUAAAACCCUGUUGUUAGAGAAGAAAGUGCGUGAGAGUAACUGUUCACGUUUCGACGGUAUCUAACCAGAAAGCCACGGCUAACUACGUGCCAGCAGCCGCGGUAAUACGUAGGUGGCAAGCGUUAUCCGGAUUUAUUGGGCGUAAAGGGAACGCAGGCGGUCUUUUAAGUCUGAUGUGAAAGCCUUCGGCUUAACCGGAGUAGUGCAUUGGAGACUGGGAGACUUGAGUGCAGAAGAGGAGAGUGGAACUCCAUGUGUAGCGGUGAAAUGCGUAGAUAUAUGGAAGAACACCAGUGGCGAAAGCGGCUCUCUGGUCUGUAACUGACGCUGAGGUUCGAAAGCGUGGGUAGCAAACAGGAUUAGAUACCCUGGUAGUCCCACGCCGUAAACGAUGAAUGCUAAGUGUUGGAGGGUUUCCGCCCU
Molecule: ribosomal RNA, 812 nt
Filed under: uncultured bacterium
Lineage: Bacteria
Description: bacterial SSU rRNA
Rfam family: Bacterial small subunit ribosomal RNA
Source: RNAcentral